This 253-nucleotide ribosomal RNA is filed under the name uncultured bacterium. RNAcentral describes it as "partial 16S ribosomal RNA". It matches the Rfam family "Bacterial small subunit ribosomal RNA", at positions 524 to 776 of the family's 1533-position model. The record is from RNAcentral.
UACGGGGGGAGCAAGCGUUGUUCGGAUUUACUGGGCGUAAAGAGCUCGUAGGCGGCUUGUCGCGUCGACUGUGAAAUCCCGCGGCUCAACUGCGGGUCUGCAGUCGAUACGGGCAGGCUAGAGUUCGGUAGGGGAGACUGGAAUUCCUGGUGUAGCGGUGAAAUGCGCAGAUAUCAGGAGGAACACCGGUGGCGAAGGCGGGUCUCUGGGCCGAUACUGACGCUGAGGAGCGAAAGCGUGGGGAGCGAACAGG